Molecule: ribosomal RNA, 361 nt
Filed under: Olfersia aenescens
Lineage: Eukaryota; Metazoa; Arthropoda; Insecta; Diptera; Hippoboscidae
Description: partial 12S ribosomal RNA
Source: RNAcentral
UUAUUAUAAUUAAAAUAUUUAUAUAUUAAGGUAGUAGUAGUUAUAUUCUUGAAACCUAAAAAAUUUGGCGGUAUUUUAGUCUAUUCAGAGGAACCUGUUCUAUAAUCGAUAAUCCACGAUGGACCUUACUUAAAUUUGUAUUCAGUUUAUAUAUCGUUGUUAUAAAAUAUUUUAUAAGAAUAAUAAUAUUUUUAAUUUUUUAUAAAAAAAUAUAUCAGAUCAAGGUGUAGCUAAUGUUUAAGAAGAAAUGGGUUACAAUAAAAAUAUUUAUAUGAAUAUAGAUUUGAAAUGUUUAUUGAAGGUGGAUUUGAUAGUAAAUUUAUAAAGAUAAAUAAGUUGAUUAUAGCUCUAAAAUAUGUAC